Molecule: ribosomal RNA, 423 nt
Filed under: uncultured delta proteobacterium
Lineage: Bacteria; Deltaproteobacteria
Description: bacterial SSU rRNA
Rfam family: Bacterial small subunit ribosomal RNA
Source: RNAcentral
CCCUGCCCCCGGCGGGGGAUAACUACUCGAAAGGGUGGCUAAUACCGCAUGAGACCACGGGGUCUUCGGACCCUGAGGCCAAAGACGGCACCGGCUUGCCGGUGCUGUCACCUGGGGAUGGGCCCGCGUACGAUUAGCUAGUUGGUGAGGUAACGGCUCACCAAGGCUCCGAUCGUUAGCUGGUCUGAGAGGAUGGCCAGCCACACUGGAACUGAAACACGGUCCAGACUCCUACGGGAGGCAGCAGUGAGGAAUAUUGCGCAAUGGGGGAAACCCUGACGCAGCAACGCCGCGUGGGUGAAGAAGGCCUUCGGGUCGUAAAGCCCUUUCGGACGGGACGAACGCUUCGCGGGGAUAAUCCGCGAAGCUUGACGGUACCGUAGGAAGAAGCACCGGCUAACUCCGUGCCAGCAGCCGCGGUAA